Molecule: long non-coding RNA, 297 nt
Organism: Aphis gossypii (cotton aphid)
Lineage: Eukaryota; Metazoa; Arthropoda; Insecta; Hemiptera; Aphididae
Exons: 3
Source: RefSeq, a predicted model, not a curated record
GAAAAACGUUUUCACAACUUACACUCACAAAAGAAAGAAAGAAAACGCGAAUAUAUUGACAAUUGUGUACCUACUGUUUAAUACUAAAAGCUAGUCGGGCAUUCCGAGAAAGGUAUACGCUCCGCGGCUCCGCAGAAGGAUCGUAGGAGUGCGUCGCAGCACAAGGCUGAUCGGGCAGUAAUUCGAUUCCCGAGCGAUUUCAAAAGCCACGUAGACAAUCAAGACAGGUUGAUAACAUGAAACAAACACAGGUAGAAGUAUAUAUUACACCAAUGUAAAGAAUUAAAAUAAACCAAC